Molecule: ribosomal RNA, 428 nt
Filed under: uncultured prokaryote
Description: bacterial SSU rRNA
Rfam family: Bacterial small subunit ribosomal RNA
Source: RNAcentral
UGAGGAAUUUUGCGCAAUGGGAGCAAUCCUGACGCAGCAACGCCGCGUGGGUGAUGAAGGCCUUCGGGUCGUAAAGCCCUGUCAGGUGGGAAGAAUGUCCCGGAAUUGAACAGGUUUCGGGAGUGACGGUACCACCAGAGGAAGCACCGGCUAACUCCGUGCCAGCCGCCGCGGUCAUACGGAGGGUGCAAGCGUUAUUCGGAAUUACUGGGCGUAAAGCGCGUGUAGGCGGUCCUGCAAGUCGGAUGUGAAAGCCCCGGGCUUAACCCGGGAAGUGCAUUGGAAACUGCAGGUCUUGAGUACUGGAGAGGAUGGGGGAAUUCCCGGUGUAGAGGUGAAAGUCGUAGAGAUCGGGAGGAAUAUCAGUGGCGAAGGCGCCCAUCUGGACGGUAACUGACGCUGAGACGCGAAAGCGUGGGGAGCAAACA